UACGGGGGGGGCAAGCGUUGUUCGGAAUUACUGGGCGUAAAGGGCUCGUAGGCGGCCAACUAAGUCAGACGUGAAAUCCCUCGGCUUAACCGGGGAACUGCGUCUGAUACUGGUUGGCUUGAAUCCGGGAGAGGGAUGUGGAAUUCCAGGUGUAGCGGUGAAAUGCGUAGAUAUCUGGAGGAACACCGGUGGCGAAGGCGGCAUCUUGGACCGGUAUUGACGCUGAGGAGCGAAAGCCAGGGGAGCAAACGGG
RNAcentral lists this ribosomal RNA (253 nucleotides) under uncultured bacterium. RNAcentral describes it as "partial 16S ribosomal RNA". It matches the Rfam family "Bacterial small subunit ribosomal RNA", at positions 524 to 776 of the family's 1533-position model. The record is from RNAcentral.